CUUAUAGGAGUGUAUACAUUUAUUGUGUUUUAAUACAGGAGUGUGUUUGGAUGUAAUUCUUGCGUUUGAUUGCAGGGGUAUGUCUGAAUGCGGUUGUGUAUCCUGGUUUUAUGCUACCUAGGCAUGACAAAACUCAGGCACUCCCCCUCCCCCUUCUAAAUACACAUGCACACUCACUGACAGACACAUAUACACUCAGUAUCAGACACACACAUUCACUGACAGACACACAUACACUUGCUAACAGACAUACACACUCACUAACAGACACAUACAGUCACUAACAAACACACACUCACUAACAGACACGCAUACACACUCAUUAACAGACACACAUACUAACAGUCACUAACAGACACAUAAACACACUAGCACACUCACUAACAGACACACACAUAGUAACACACUCACUAACAGACACACACACUGACACACACACUCUCACUAACAGACACACAAAGUCAGUAACAGGCACACUCUCACUAACAGACAUGCAUACACACUCACUAACAAACAUGCAUAUACACUAACAGACACACACACUAACACACUCUCUAACAGACACACACAUACUAACACAUUCAAUAACAGACACACACGCACACACACAAUCACUAACAUACACACACAUACUAAUACACUCACUAACAGACACACACACAUUUUUUAAAUUUACCUUUGGGAGUGCUGGGGUGGAUUCUCGCUUUCCCUGGGGUCCAGUGGGGCUGCUGGGCGGCCGGCCGGUCACUGCAGUCGGCGAGAGAGCACUGAUCCUCCUGUUCAGCUCCCGCGCGCCGCGUAGUGAUGCCAGGGACAGAGUGACGUCCUAUUCCGGCUCCAGAAUCACUGCGGUGCGCGCCAGGGAGCUGAACAGCAUGAUCAGUGCUCCCGCGCUGCCUGCCCGGAAAGUACCGCUGCUGCCAGCCUCGGGGGGCCCUAAGGUGGCCAGCGGGCCCCCAGGACAAGAGGCUGGCAAGGCAUUUGCCAGGGAGAUUAGGGGGUGGCUUUUAUUGCUGCUCCCCAUUAAGUGCCAACCAAGCCAAAUACCUUGGGGUAAAUACACCCCUGUCUGAAUGUAAUGUUCACUUUUAAAUGUGGAUGUUCAUUUGUGUGAAGUAUUUGUCUUGGAGUGAAGGAGUGUAUUUGUAUGUAAUAUUUGAGACUGCGCGCGGGGGAGGAGAGACAUCACAGCUUCCUUUUCAUUACUACUAUUCGCGCAGCCAGCCGCCCACCCUGCACAAUCACCCAGCAUGCCGCCCGACUCCAUAAUCCUCCAACUUGCUGCACGCCUGAACGAUCCCCCAGCAUGCCACCAGCCUGCACAAUCUCCUGGCCG
Pelobates cultripes (western spadefoot toad) is the source of this 1336-nucleotide non-coding RNA. The record is from the annotation of a GenBank genome assembly. Lineage: Eukaryota; Metazoa; Chordata; Amphibia; Anura; Pelobatidae.